This 343-nucleotide long non-coding RNA is filed under the name Cercocebus atys (sooty mangabey). Its description in RNAcentral is "lncRNA (ENSCATG00000045483.1)". The record is from RNAcentral. Lineage: Eukaryota; Metazoa; Chordata; Mammalia; Primates; Cercopithecidae.
CGUGGCUGAAAGUACAUUCAGACACAAGAGAGGUCGAUGAGAGGGAAGUGAAAAGACAGAGUGAAUAAAGAACUUUGUAAUUUAUCAAGAUGAUCAAGAUCAACAGAAAAUGGGCUAAGACAUGGAGCAAGGGGCAGAAUGAUUCUUGAAGAUGCUGAGUAACUUCUGUUGGUGCCCUCCUCGACUCUGGCAGGUGUCCAAGCCCUGUUGUUCUCCCUGCACAGGGCGGCUGAGCAGUGCUCUGUAAAUUAUGCACCAGUCCCACAAUGUCUGGGGAGCCUGUGGACCCAUUUUGUCUACCUGGAGGUAAAUUAUUUAGCAAAGGCAAUUUAAAUGAUUCAGA